Molecule: non-coding RNA, 1760 nt
Organism: Anas platyrhynchos (mallard)
Lineage: Eukaryota; Metazoa; Chordata; Aves; Anseriformes; Anatidae
Source: RefSeq, a predicted model, not a curated record
UUCUACACCUCCCUGAGCUUUUAAUUAGAUGAGCCAAUUUUACAUGUAUUUGUCUGCUGGAAAGGUUAUCUGUGCUGGAGCUGACCUGCAGAGACAAGGUUGAGCCUAGCGGUCUUAAUAGAAAAGGUUUUCAGCUAUGACUGCUGUACUUGAUUGCAUUGUAAUGAAAUUGGUUUUGUGCAGUUACAUUCAUAGGAAAAAGUAUGGAAAAAAAAAAAAAAGAAAGGGAACGGUGUGCCUCAGCUGGGGAGCGUGGUGGAGGCAGACGGCUCGGAGGAGACCUGUCGCAACGCUUGACUCCUUCUGCUCGUGCAGGUUUGGCGCUUAAGCUAAUUUGUAAGCAUUUAGGGCCGGACUCUGAUCUCCCUCCUGCCGCAGCCGCUCCACAGAGGCUGGCGAGCGCUUCCCAGCAGACACGAGGUGGGGAACCCCGCCGGCUGGAUUUGGUCCCGUCUCCAAUGUUUUGUGCUGCCGGGUGUGGGUGUAAGUAAUUCUGACAAAGCGAGGUGCUGGAGGUGGAGCAUCUUCAGCAGCAGCGCUGCAUGGCUGUAGGGAUUAACCCCAAGGCCUCAUCCUGCCAGACGGGAUGCUCUCCCCGAGGCUGGCAGGCAGGGGAGGGCUUCCAGUACUUUCCUGUGCCUCCUGCAGGGCUCAGCUUGAGGCUUGCAGAUGCUGACAAUGAGCCCAUUUCCCUGGGGACACCAGCCCGUGUCCCCCCAGGGCAAAGCUGGCACAAAAGCCACAGCUGAUGGUGCCUCGCCAAGGACAUGAGGGGCUGUGUUGGUGCAUUGCAGAGCAUUGUGGAUACCCAGUGUUGGGCCUGAAGUCAUGGCAGGCCAUCUGAUGGGGCAGAGCUCCUGGGGACCUCUUCAUUGAUGCUGUGCUAUCCUCUGGGGCCUCCUUUCCUUCUCAAGAGCUCCAAGCUGCUGUCCUCUACAUCUCACCUGCCCCCUGACGAACCUUUUUUUCCUUGGUGGUCUUGGCAUGUCUGUUAAUGGCAGCUUGAGUGCGCCCACACCAUUUGAGCAGUUUCACUUCCAGGCUCAUACAUUGGUGUUCAAAGACUUUACUCUUAUUCUGAUGACCAGUGGAGGACCCCCUGCUUGGGCUGAUGCUGAAACAUUUUAAACGUGUUCUCCAGAAAGCUGUAGGUCUCCAUCAUGAAAGUAGAGCAGGGAUCCUACUCUUAAACCCGUCACAUAUGUUCAAGAAAUCAAACCUUUGGUGGACAUCAAUGAGGAAAGCCCGAGUGAUGACUCUGCCAAGUUUUAAGCUGUCCAUUGAUCUACUCACUGAAUCCUUUUCCUCUUAGAGAUUUUUGUAUAGCAGAAUAUAACUCAAAGAAGGGAAAAGUGCAUUUCCUGGGAACCCCAGUCAUACCUUUCUUCUAUCAAAAUAAUUUAUAAGAUCAACUCUUCCAUGGGAAUUAAUGCCUAUAACACUUGCUGGACAUUGAAAGGGGGGAACGAAUGUUAAUAACACAAGUGUGUGGCUCCUGUGAGAGAAGCGUGCAUGGAACAGAGAAUGUGAUUCUGCUUCAGCCCCAGAAAGCUACAGAAAUCAAUGCUUCAUUCAAGGCUAUUGAUCAGUACUAAAUUAAUUAGACUUCAAGGCUUAUGGCAGUUGAUAAGACAACUUGUUAAUUUAGUCAAUGAUAGUGUUUUCCCUAAAGCAGCAAAUACCCUCUUUCUCAGAAAAGACAUUUCUAGCACUUGCUAUGCGACUUUCCCCCCUCCUCCUUUUAUUAAAAAAAAAAAAAA